This is a transfer RNA of Trametes versicolor FP-101664 SS1, 86 nucleotides long. It matches the Rfam family "tRNA". Rfam says of the family: Transfer RNA (tRNA) molecules are approximately 80 nucleotides in length. Their secondary structure includes four short double-helical elements and three loops (D, anti-codon, and T loops). The record is from Rfam. NCBI's taxonomy places the organism in Eukaryota, Fungi, Basidiomycota, Agaricomycetes, Polyporales, Polyporaceae.
GGCCCAAUGGUCUAGAGGUAAGAUACUUGCUUUGGGUACUUCGGUGCGAUUGCAAGGGAUCCCGGGUUCGAAUCCCGGUUGGGCCC